UACGGAGGGUGCGAGCGUUGUCCGGAAUCAUUGGGCGUAAAGGGCGCGUAGGUGGCCCGGUCAGUCCGUGGUGAAAGCGCGGGGCUCAACCCCGCGUCGGCCAUGGAUACUGCUGGGCUUGAGCACUGGUAGAGGCAGGCGGAAUUCCGGGUGUAGCGGUGGAAUGCGUAGAGAUCCGGAAGAACACCGGUGGCGAAGGCGGCCUGCUGGGCAGUGGCUGACACUGAGGCGCGACACGUGGGGAGCAAACAGG
This 253-nucleotide ribosomal RNA is filed under the name uncultured bacterium. RNAcentral's name for it is "partial 16S ribosomal RNA". It matches the Rfam family "Bacterial small subunit ribosomal RNA", at positions 524 to 776 of the family's 1533-position model. The record is from RNAcentral.